GACGAACGCUGGCGGCGUGCUUAACACAUGCAAGUCGAACGGAAAGGCCCUGCUUUUGUGGGGUGCUCGAGUGGCGAACGGGUGAGUAACACGUGAGUAACCUGCCCUUGACUUUGGGAUAACUUCAGGAAACUGGGGCUAAUACCGGAUAGGAGCUCCUGCUGCAUGGUGGGGGUUGGAAAGUUUCGGCGGUUGGGGAUGGACUCGCGGCUUAUCAGCUUGUUGGUGGGGUAGUGGCUUACCAAGGCUUUGAUGGGUAGCCGGCCUGAGCGGGUGACCGGCCACAUUGGGACUGAGAUACGGCCCAGACUCCUACGGGAGGCAGCAGUGGGGAAUAUUGCACAAUGGGCGGAAGCCUGAUGCAGCAACGCCGCGUGCGGGAUGACGGCCUUCGGGUUGUAAACCGCUUUCGCCUGUGACGAAGCGUGAGUGACGGUAAUGGGUAAAGAAGCACCGGCUAACUACGUG
Molecule: ribosomal RNA, 468 nt
Filed under: uncultured bacterium
Lineage: Bacteria
Description: partial 16S ribosomal RNA
Rfam family: Bacterial small subunit ribosomal RNA
Source: RNAcentral